UCUGCUGAUGUCCGAGAAAAUUACAAAAAAAGCACGGCAUCGGCUUAAGCUGCCGAGAAUACGUAAGUUCCCCUACUUUACUUUUGCUUACAAUGAAAAUAAUUUGGUGUGAAAUUAGUUUGUACAAAGUAGAUCCAUGAUAGCAAGACACGUUCGUCGGCAGCAAAUAUCAAGCAUGUAAAGGCAAUAGUGUCAAUCAUGCUCGAUAUUUGCAAUCGUGCGGCGUUAUUUGUGGUAUAACCUGUAGGUGUGUAUUGUGUACCGAAUACAUCCUAAUAUAUUUAUCCACAAUAUUUCCGGUUUUCUAGAAGGAGUAUUUCAUUAUUUUCGAACGUAAAUUCUACAUUACCAUGCAAUCCCACACUCACCAUAUGUGUAACCGUUGGAUAUUAGGGAAAUAAAAGUUGAUAAAAUGUGAA
This is a long non-coding RNA of Aedes aegypti (yellow fever mosquito), 419 nucleotides long. RefSeq lists it as uncharacterized. The transcript has 2 exons. The record is from RefSeq and is a predicted model, not a curated record. Lineage: Eukaryota; Metazoa; Arthropoda; Insecta; Diptera; Culicidae.